AGGGGUAAAAUCCGGAGAUAUAACCAAGAAUACCCAUUGCGAAGGCGAUCGGCGGGAACUCAACUGACGCUAAGGCGCGAAAGCGUGGGGAGCAAACAGGAUUAGAAACCCUGGUAGUCCACGCCCUAAACGAUGUACACUAGUUGUUGGGGUGCUAGUCAUCUCAGUAAUGCAGCUAACGGAUUAAGUGUACCGCCUGGGGUGUACGGUCGCAAGAUUAAAACUCAAAGGAAUAGACGGG
RNAcentral lists this ribosomal RNA (241 nucleotides) under Campylobacter jejuni. RNAcentral's name for it is "partial 16S ribosomal RNA". It matches the Rfam family "Bacterial small subunit ribosomal RNA", at positions 677 to 917 of the family's 1533-position model. The record is from RNAcentral. Lineage: Bacteria; Pseudomonadati; Campylobacterota; Epsilonproteobacteria; Campylobacterales; Campylobacteraceae.